Molecule: long non-coding RNA, 5366 nt
Organism: Populus nigra (black poplar)
Lineage: Eukaryota; Viridiplantae; Streptophyta; Magnoliopsida; Malpighiales; Salicaceae
Exons: 2
Source: RefSeq, a predicted model, not a curated record
GUUAGGAUAAAAAUCUUAUAUGUUAUUUUUUACAUGAUGAUUCUUAUACAUGUUUAUGAUGCCUUAACAAGUUACUAAUGAUCAGGUGAUUAAGUAAGGAAGAAAGUUGAUAUGACGGGGGGUUUUUAUGACUAUCGAUGCUCAAAGUUGAAGUUUAUGGACAUAAUUAUGUAGAACAGAUUGCAUUGAGGUAAUAAAUCUCAUGAAUGUGCACUUCCCAUCAAAUAGACUAAAAUAAGAAAACAAAGCUAGAGACUAAUUUCACAACUAAUCUGAAAUGACAAAAACAAAAGUUGGAAGCCAUAAUAUCCUUUGCAAAGUUUGAAAUGUUAUAUGGUGAAGCUGAAUUGAAGGAGCAGGAACUAAAUGAUGCUAACUCAUUAGCUGAAGUCAUAAAACAAGAACUCUAAAGUGAGCUUUGAGUUGUUUCUAGGAACUUGAUUUUAAUAUUUCACUAUAAAAAGAUUUUUUUGACUAGCUGUUCUUCUAGGUGUUUCUGACAGGAUGGAUAGACUCAUUGGCUGAAGUCACAACAGAAGAACUAUGAAUUGUGAAUCUGCUUUAUUGUUUCUUUAUGUGAUAAAUGACUAGUCUGAGCUUCAGUUUUUUGUUCUUGGCUUUUAAUGUAUUGUUAAACUAUUAUGUCUUGUAAUUAAUGUUUUAAAUAUAUUUAUCCUGCUUGAUUUGCUAGUCGAUAUCUUUGCUGAAAUCCUAAAAGAUGAUGUUUUGGUCUUGCCCCCACAUAUACUCGGUACGUACUGAGAUAGGUCAUGCUUCCACUUAAGCUUUCAUCUUUUCAGAAGUGACAUGCUCUCUUUUAUUGGAACAUAUACUCGAUACUUACUGAAUUUAUAUGUAAGUCUCCACGUUUAACUUAUCCAUCCACAUGGUUCUGAUGUGGUCCCUUUAUUAAAGAAGUUGAAGUUUUCUCACAAUUUUUCCCUUGGAUUAGCGAAGGUUAGUUCUCCACCGUGCUUGUUCUAAUUGAAAUAGUAUUGAUCCAGCAAAAACAUUGGUUCGAGUUUUGUUGUUUAUAAUUUGUAUGUUGGUCUACACACAAGUGAAAACUGAGUAAUUACUUGUGUUAUGUUGUUCUAGAAGGUUAUUUCUCUACACACAAGUGAAAACUGAGUAAUUACUUGUGUUAUUUUGUUCUAGAAGGUUAUUUCUCUACGUGUUUUGUUAAUUGAUUGCUGAUGUUUUCAUUAGCUUGGUGUGCAAAUUUGGGUUGAAAGUUUUUGGUGUGAGAAGCUCUGUAGUUAUUGCUUUUGGAAUCCAAGGAUGGAUAGUUCUGAGAAAAAGUUUUAAUUUGAUAAUUGUGGUUGAUUGGUACCAACAAUAAAUGUAAGCUAUAAAGUACCUGCAUGUACGCUUCUGGUGUCCACCCCAACCACAAUGCUACUAGGAAAUUUAUAUGAUUUGCGAAGUAAAACACUUUUUCUUUGAUAUGAUAUUUGUAUGUAACUUAAAUUAUUUGACCGACAUGUUCUUGAGGUAAGAACAUGUUUAUGAUGCCUUAUACAUGAUCCUUGUACAUGUUUAUGAUGCCUUAUACAUGAUGAUCCUUCUACAUGUUUAUGAUGCCUUAACAAGUUACUAAUGAUCAGGUGAUUAAGUAAGGAAGAAAGUUGAUAUGACGGGGGGUUUUUAUGACUAUCGAUGCUCAAAGUUGAAGUUUAUGGACAUAAUUAUGUAGAACAGAUUGCAUUGAGGUAAUAAAUCUCAUGAAUGUGCACUUCCCAUCAAAUAGACUAAAAUAAGAAAACAAAGCUAGAGACUAAUUUCACAACUAAUCUGAAAUGACAAAAACAAAAGUUGGAAGCCAUAAUAUCCUUUGCAAAGUUUGAAAUGUUAUAUGGUGAAGCUGAAUUGAAGGAGCAGGAACUAAAUGAUGCUAACUCAUUAGCUGAAGUCAUAAAACAAGAACUCUAAAGUGAGCUUUGAGUUGUUUCUAGGAACUUGAUUUUAAUAUUUCACUAUAAAAAGAUUUUUUUGACUAGCUGUUCUUCUAGGUGUUUCUGACAGGAUGGAUAGACUCAUUGGCUGAAGUCACAACAGAAGAACUAUGAAUUGUGAAUCUGCUUUAUUGUUUCUUUAUGUGAUAAAUGACUAGUCUGAGCUUCAGUUUUUUGUUCUUGGCUUUUAAUGUAUUGUUAAACUAUUAUGUCUUGUAAUUAAUGUUUUAAAUAUAUUUAUCCUGCUUGAUUUGCUAGUCGAUAUCUUUGCUGAAAUCCUAAAAGAUGAUGUUUUGGUCUUGCCCCCACAUAUACUCGGUACGUACUGAGAUAGGUCAUGCUUCCACUUAAGCUUUCAUCUUUUCAGAAGUGACAUGCUCUCUUUUAUUGGAACAUAUACUCGAUACUUACUGAAUUUAUAUGUAAGUCUCCACGUUUAACUUAUCCAUCCACAUGGUUCUGAUGUGGUCCCUUUAUUAAAGAAGUUGAAGUUUUCUCACAAUUUUUCCCUUGGAUUAGCGAAGGUUAGUUCUCCACCGUGCUUGUUCUAAUUGAAAUAGUAUUGAUCCAGCAAAAACAUUGGUUCGAGUUUUGUUGUUUAUAAUUUGUAUGUUGGUCUACACACAAGUGAAAACUGAGUAAUUACUUGUGUUAUGUUGUUCUAGAAGGUUAUUUCUCUACACACAAGUGAAAACUGAGUAAUUACUUGUGUUAUUUUGUUCUAGAAGGUUAUUUCUCUACGUGUUUUGUUAAUUGAUUGCUGAUGUUUUCAUUAGCUUGGUGUGCAAAUUUGGGUUGAAAGUUUUUGGUGUGAGAAGCUCUGUAGUUAUUGCUUUUGGAAUCCAAGGAUGGAUAGUUCUGAGAAAAAGUUUUAAUUUGAUAAUUGUGGUUGAUUGGUACCAACAAUAAAUGUAAGCUAUAAAGUACCUGCAUGUACGCUUCUGGUGUCCACCCCAACCACAAUGCUACUAGGAAAUUUAUAUGAUUUGCGAAGUAAAACACUUUUUCUUUGAUAUGAUAUUUGUAUGUAACUUAAAUUAUUUGACCGACAUGUUCUUGAGGUAAGAACAUGUUUAUGAUGCCUUAUACAUGAUCCUUGUACAUGUUUAUGAUGCCUUAUACAUGAUGAUCCUUCUACAUGUUUAUGAUGCCUUAACAAGUUACUAAUGAUCAGGUGAUUAAGUAAGGAAGAAAGUUGAUAUGACGGGGGGUUUUUAUGACUAUCGAUGCUCAAAGUUGAAGUUUAUGGACAUAAUUAUGUAGAACAGAUUGCAUUGAGGUAAUAAAUCUCAUGAAUGUGCACUUCCCAUCAAAUAGACUAAAAUAAGAAAACAAAGCUAGAGACUAAUUUCACAACUAAUCUGAAAUGACAAAAACAAAAGUUGGAAGCCAUAAUAUCCUUUGCAAAGUUUGAAAUGUUAUAUGGUGAAGCUGAAUUGAAGGAGCAGGAACUAAAUGAUGCUAACUCAUUAGCUGAAGUCAUAAAACAAGAACUCUAAAGUGAGCUUUGAGUUGUUUCUAGGAACUUGAUUUUAAUAUUUCACUAUAAAAAGAUUUUUUUGACUAGCUGUUCUUCUAGGUGUUUCUGACAGGAUGGAUAGACUCAUUGGCUGAAGUCACAACAGAAGAACUAUGAAUUGUGAAUCUGCUUUAUUGUUUCUUUAUGUGAUAAAUGACUAGUCUGAGCUUCAGUUUUUUGUUCUUGGCUUUUAAUGUAUUGUUAAACUAUUAUGUCUUGUAAUUAAUGUUUUAAAUAUAUUUAUCCUGCUUGAUUUGCUAGUCGAUAUCUUUGCUGAAAUCCUAAAAGAUGAUGUUUUGGUCUUGCCCCCACAUAUACUCGGUACGUACUGAGAUAGGUCAUGCUUCCACUUAAGCUUUCAUCUUUUCAGAAGUGACAUGCUCUCUUUUAUUGGAACAUAUACUCGAUACUUACUGAAUUUAUAUGUAAGUCUCCACGUUUAACUUAUCCAUCCACAUGGUUCUGAUGUGGUCCCUUUAUUAAAGAAGUUGAAGUUUUCUCACAAUUUUUCCCUUGGAUUAGCGAAGGUUAGUUCUCCACCGUGCUUGUUCUAAUUGAAAUAGUAUUGAUCCAGCAAAAACAUUGGUUCGAGUUUUGUUGUUUAUAAUUUGUAUGUUGGUCUACACACAAGUGAAAACUGAGUAAUUACUUGUGUUAUGUUGUUCUAGAAGGUUAUUUCUCUACACACAAGUGAAAACUGAGUAAUUACUUGUGUUAUUUUGUUCUAGAAGGUUAUUUCUCUACGUGUUUUGUUAAUUGAUUGCUGAUGUUUUCAUUAGCUUGGUGUGCAAAUUUGGGUUGAAAGUUUUUGGUGUGAGAAGCUCUGUAGUUAUUGCUUUUGGAAUCCAAGGAUGGAUAGUUCUGAGAAAAAGUUUUAAUUUGAUAAUUGUGGUUGAUUGGUACCAACAAUAAAUGUAAGCUAUAAAGUACCUGCAUGUACGCUUCUGGUGUCCACCCCAACCACAAUGCUACUAGGAAAUUUAUAUGAUUUGCGAAGUAAAACACUUUUUCUUUGAUAUGAUAUUUGUAUGUAACUUAAAUUAUUUGACCGACAUGUUCUUGAGGUAAGAACAUGUUUAUGAUGCCUUAUACAUGAUCCUUGUACAUGUUUAUGAUGCCUUAUACAUGAUGAUCCUUCUACAUGUUUAUGAUGCCUUAACAAGUUACUAAUGAUCAGGUGAUUAAGUAAGGAAGAAAGUUGAUAUGACGGGGGGUUUUUAUGACUAUCGAUGCUCAAAGUUGAAGUUUAUGGACAUAAUUAUGUAGAACAGAUUGCAUUGAGUCGAUAUCUUUGCUGAAAUCCUAAAAGAUGAUGUUUUGGUCUUGCCCCCACAUAUACUCGGUACGUACUGAGAUAGGUCAUGCUUCCACUUAAGCUUUCAUCUUUUCAGAAGUGACAUGCUCUCUUUUAUUGGAACAUAUACUCGAUACUUACUGAAUUUAUAUGUAAGUCUCCACGUUUAACUUAUCCAUCCACAUGGUUCUGAUGUGGUCCCUUUAUUAAAGAAGUUGAAGUUUUCUCACAAUUUUUCCCUUGGAUUAGCGAAGGUUAGUUCUCCACCGUGCUUGUUCUAAUUGAAAUAGUAUUGAUCCAGCAAAAACAUUGGUUCGAGUUUUGUUGUUUAUAAUUUGUAUGUUGGUCUACACACAAGUGAAAACUGAGUAAUUACUUGUGUUAUGUUGUUCUAGAAGGUUAUUUCUCUACACACAAGUGAAAACUGAGUAAUUACUUGUGUUAUUUUGUUCUAGAAGGUUAUUUCUCUACGUGUUUUGUUAAUUGAUUGCUGAUGUUUUCAUUAGCUUGGUGUGCAAAUUUGGGUUGAAAGUUUUUGGUGUGAGAAGCUCUGUAGUUAUUGCUUUUGGAAUCCAAGGAUGGAUAGUUCUGAGAAAAA